Molecule: non-coding RNA, 72 nt
Organism: Zootermopsis nevadensis
Lineage: Eukaryota; Metazoa; Arthropoda; Insecta; Blattodea; Termopsidae
Source: Rfam
GGCUCAGUGGUCUAGGGGUAUGAUUCCUGCUUUGGGUGCAGGAGGUCCCGGGUUCAAAUCCCGGCUGAGCCC